RNAcentral lists this ribosomal RNA (254 nucleotides) under uncultured bacterium. RNAcentral's name for it is "partial 16S ribosomal RNA". It matches the Rfam family "Bacterial small subunit ribosomal RNA", at positions 524 to 776 of the family's 1533-position model. The record is from RNAcentral.
GACAUAGGUGGCAAACGUUAUCCGGAAUUACUGGGCGUAAAGAGUGCGUAGGUGGUUCAAUAAGUUACUGGUGGGAAAUCGGGGCUCAACCUCGUGGAAGUCAGUAAUACUAUUAAACUAGAGGGUCGAAGAGGUUAACGGAAUUCUAUGUGUAGCGGUAAAAUGCUUAAAUAUAUAGAGGAACACCAAACGGCGAAGGCAGUUAACUAUUCGAUUCCUGACGUUGAGGCACGAAAGCGUGGGGAGCAAGACGG